GUCCCUGUAGCGAAAUGGAUAGCGUAAUCCAAAGGUCGUUGGUUCGAAUCCCACCUGGGAGG
RNAcentral lists this transfer RNA (62 nucleotides) under Trichonephila clavata. Its description in RNAcentral is "tRNA-Ser". Lineage: Eukaryota; Metazoa; Arthropoda; Arachnida; Araneae; Nephilidae. The record is from RNAcentral.